This 259-nucleotide ribosomal RNA is filed under the name uncultured archaeon. RNAcentral's name for it is "partial 16S ribosomal RNA". It matches the Rfam family "Bacterial small subunit ribosomal RNA", at positions 524 to 783 of the family's 1533-position model. The record is from RNAcentral.
UACGAGGGUGCAAGCGUUAUUCGGAAUUACUGGGCGUAAAGGGUGUGUAGGUGGUGUAUUAAGUCUGUUGUUAAAUCUCCCGGCCUAACUGGGAAGUCGCAAUGGAAACUAGUACGCUAGAGUGUGAGAGAGAGGAGUGGAAUUCUCGGAGUAGCGGUAAAAUGCGUAGAUAUCGAGAGGAACACCGAUGGCGAAAGCAGCUCCUUGGCUCACUACUGACACUGAAACACGAAAGCGUGGGGAGCAAACAGGAUUAGAA